CCUACGGGAGGCAGCAGUGGGGAAUUUUGGACAAUGGGCGCAAGCCUGAUCCAGCAAUGCCGCGUGAGUGAAGAAGGCCUUCGGGUUGUAAAGCUCUUUUGUCAGGGAAGAAACGGUGAGGGCUAAUAUCUCUUGCUAAUGACGGUACCUGAAGAAUAAGCACCGGCUAACUACGUGCCAGCAGCCGCGGUAAUACGUAGGGUGCAAGCGUUAAUCGGAAUUACUGGGCGUAAAGCGUGCGCAGGCGGUUUUGUAAGUCUGUCGUGAAAUCCCCGGGCUCAACCUGGGAAUUGCGAUGGAGACUGCAAGGCUAGAAUCUGGCAGAGGGGGGUAGAAUUCCACGUGUAGCAGUGAAAUGCGUAGAGAUGUGGAGGAACACCGAUGGCGAAGGCAGCCCCCUGGGUCAAGAUUGACGCUCAUGCACGAAAGCGUGGGGAGCAAACAGGAUUAGAUACCCUGGUAGUCCACGCCCUAAACGAUGUCUACUAGUUGUCGGGUUUUAAUUACUUGGUAACGCAGCUACGCGUGAGUAGACCGCCGUCGGGAGGUACGGUCGCGAGAAGUAAACGUACAAAGUAGAAGUUAGUACGGCGUGAGACGUAGACCGACGGACGACGACGAGGGGAGGUUAGG
RNAcentral lists this ribosomal RNA (633 nucleotides) under uncultured bacterium. RNAcentral's name for it is "bacterial SSU rRNA". The stretch from base 1 to 539 matches the Rfam family "Bacterial small subunit ribosomal RNA", at positions 338 to 873 of the family's 1533-position model. The record is from RNAcentral.